This 23-nucleotide non-coding RNA is filed under the name Arabidopsis thaliana (thale cress). Lineage: Eukaryota; Viridiplantae; Streptophyta; Magnoliopsida; Brassicales; Brassicaceae. The record is from RNAcentral.
UCGAAUCUCCUGUUAUAUGGACA